RNAcentral lists this transfer RNA (54 nucleotides) under Planorbarius corneus. RNAcentral's name for it is "tRNA-Glu". Lineage: Eukaryota; Metazoa; Mollusca; Gastropoda; Planorbidae. The record is from RNAcentral.
UUUUUGAAGUGUUACACAUUAUCUUUUCAAGAUAAAAAAGUUAAUUAAUUAACC